AUGCUCUGCCCACACCUGAGCUCUCUCCAAUCUCCGCCUCCUGGACGUGGUAGGGUGGCCAAGCUCAGCUCACACCUGAGCUCUCUCCGAGCUCCGCCUUCUGGACUCGGUAGAGUGGCCAUGCUCCACCCACACCUGCGCUCUCUCCGAGCUCCGACUUCUGGACGUGGUAGGAUGGCCAUGCUCCGCCCACACCUGAGCUCUCGGUGCCACCAUCUGCAGGUGUACUCCAGAGGACAAGUGUACUGUGGGUCAGCAGCCAGUCGUUUCAUAGAAGAUAAACUUCAAGAACAUUCUCUGAAGGGCAGUGAAACUGAGUAAGAUCUAACCACUGUUACCAGCAACCAAGAAAAAUAGACAAUGAAGUUAUUCAUCAUGCAUGACCCAGUAACAUUUCUCAGUGGUUGGAUUCAGUACGAGAAAUAAGCAAAUAAUCGCACUGCUUCUUCCAUUUCAAAGUCAUGUCUCUUACAAAAAGUGGUCAAGAAAAAUGCCUGUUGCCUUACAUACGGGUUAGUGCCAAAAAUUUGGUUUAAAAUAUUUCAAGCGGGUUAUCCUUUUACAUCCAUGUUGUUAGUUUCACAAAGAACACAUACAAAUGCAAUUUUUUUUUACCGUAAGUUUUUGCAAAUUAUAAUCAUAAACUAAAGAAACAGGAUUAAGCAUAUUAUUUUUUGAGAUAUGUCUAGUCUAGUUCUGUUGCCCAGGCUGGAGUGCAGUGGCACAAUCAUGGCUCACUGCAGCCUCAACCUCCCCCGGCCCAGGUGAUUCUCCCACCUCAGCCUCCCGAGCAGCUGGGACCACAGGCACACACCACCAUGCCCGGCUGAUUUCUGUAUUUUUUGUAGGGAUGGGCUUUGGAAUGUUGCCCAGGCUAGUCUCAAAUGCUGGGACUCAAACAAUCUGCCUGCCUUGGCUUCCCAAAGUGCCAAGGUUACAGGCAUGAGCCACCACGCCUGGCCUAAUCAUUUUUAGAGUCUCUAUGUAUUACUGUUAUUUUUUUCCUAAUUGAGAUGGGGGUCUUGCUCUGUUGCCCCGGCUGGAGUGCAGUGGUGCCAUCUCAGCUGACAGCAACCUCUGCCUCCCGGGCUCAAGUGAUUCUCCCACCUCAGCCUCCCAAGUAGCUGGGACUACAGGUGUACACCACCAGGCUCAGCUAAUUUUUUGUACUUUUGGUGGAGACAAGAUGUACAAAAGACAUUUCUGUACAUUUUGCCAUGUUGUCCAGGCUGGCCUUGAACCCUUGGGCUCAAGCCAUACACCUGCCCUGGACUCCCAAAGUGCUGGAGUUAUAGGCAUGAGCUACCGUGCCCAGCCCUUAAUUAUGUGCUGUGACUUAAUAUUAAAAUAAAGAAAGGGAGGAGCCCA
RNAcentral lists this long non-coding RNA (1368 nucleotides) under Piliocolobus tephrosceles (Ugandan red Colobus). Its description in RNAcentral is "lncRNA (ENSPTEG00000010568.1)". Lineage: Eukaryota; Metazoa; Chordata; Mammalia; Primates; Cercopithecidae. The record is from RNAcentral.